Molecule: long non-coding RNA, 426 nt
Organism: Trematomus bernacchii (emerald rockcod)
Lineage: Eukaryota; Metazoa; Chordata; Actinopteri; Perciformes; Nototheniidae
Exons: 3
Source: RefSeq, a predicted model, not a curated record
GAAAUACUAAAUCUCUCAGCAAAUAUAAUGGACAUUUCCAGUCCAUGGAAAAAGAGCAUGACAGAGUUGAACCAGCCUCUACUGGGAACAGGAGCCAACAGUAGAUCUAAAGUGGAGCCUCUGAUUUCUCACUGCCAUUCACUGAAUGCAUUCAGGAGCUAACCUGACUAGCAUGGUUUAGCUAACACACUUCAAGUGUCCCAACGGUCUCUGGAUAGAUAUAUCAAACUGUAGAUUUGAUAGAUUAGACUAAAUACUUUACUUUGUUUAUCCUGCACAAAGAUACUGUACGUAUAUUUCAUCUCUGCUGUCUGACCAGGUUUCAGUUCACAGAUAACUGGGGGCCAGAUUUAGCUUUUGAGUUCAGGUACUCACCGUCCACUGUCCAUCGAGUGAGAUCAUCAGAUUAAAGCUGAGAUUCCACAG